Molecule: ribosomal RNA, 388 nt
Filed under: uncultured bacterium
Lineage: Bacteria
Description: bacterial SSU rRNA
Rfam family: Bacterial small subunit ribosomal RNA
Source: RNAcentral
UAGGGAAUAUUAGUAAUGGGCGAAAGCCUGAACUAGCAACGCCGCGUGUGCGAAGAAGGCCUUCGGGUUGUAAAGCACUUUUUGAGAGGAUGAGGAAGGACGGUACUCUCAGAAUAAGUCUCGGCUAACUACGUGCCAGCAGCCGCGGUAACACGUAGGAGGCGAACGUUAUCCGGAUUUACUGGGCGUAAAGCGCGUGUAGGUGGUUUGGUAAGUAGGGCGUGAAAGCUCCUGGCUCAACUGGGAGAGGCCGUUCUAAACUGCCGAACUAGAGGAUGGUAGAGGGAGGUGGAAGUCCGGGUGUAGCGGUGGAAUGCGCAGAUAUCCGGAGGAACACCAGUGGCGAAAGCGGCCUCCUGGACCAUUCCUGACACUCAGACGCGAAAGC